RNAcentral lists this transfer RNA (73 nucleotides) under Parabacteroides sp. AF17-28. RNAcentral describes it as "tRNA-Val". It matches the Rfam family "tRNA". From Rfam's summary of the family: Transfer RNA (tRNA) molecules are approximately 80 nucleotides in length. Their secondary structure includes four short double-helical elements and three loops (D, anti-codon, and T loops). Lineage: Bacteria; Pseudomonadati; Bacteroidota; Bacteroidia; Bacteroidales; Tannerellaceae. RNAcentral also lists the same sequence under 1 other name. The record is from RNAcentral.
CGCGGGGUAGAGCAGUGGUUAGCUUGUCGCUUUGACUUGGCGAAGGUCCGGGGUUCGAAUCCCUGUCCCGCAA